CCCAAAUCCUCUUUCCUUGAACAUUUGGGAGAUGGGAUGACAUUGGGGUGUCCCCAAAUUCUCUUUCCUCGGACAUUUGGGACAUGGGGUGACAUUGGGGUGUCCCCAAAUCCUCUUUCUUUGGACAUUUGGGACAUGGGGUGACAUUGGGGUGUCCCCAAACCCCACAGGAUGAGCGGCUGUUGUGUCCUUAAAUCCUUUUUCCUUGGAUGUUUUGGAGAUGGGGUGACCCCAAAUCCUCUCUCCUUGGACAUUUGGGAUAUGGGGUGACAUUGGGGUGUCCCCAAAUCCUCUUUCCUUGAACAUUUGGGAUAUGGGAUGAUGUUGGGGUGUCCCCAAAUCCUCUUCCCUCAGACAUUUGGGACAUGGGGUGACAUUGGGGUGUUCCCAAAUCCUCCUUCUUUGGACAUUUGGAUAUGGAGUGACAUUGUAGUGUCCCCAAAUCCUCUUUCCUUGAACAUUUGGGACAUGGGGUGACAUUGUGGUGUCCCCAAAUCCUCUUUCCUUGGACAUUUGGGAUAUGGGGUGACAUUGGGGUGUCCCCAAGUCCUCUUUCCUUGGGCAUUGGGGACAUGGGGUGACAUUGGGGUGUCCCCAAACCCCACAGGAUGAGCGGCUGUUGCGUCCCUUCCUGGACAAGACUCUGACCUCACGCCUGGGGAUGCGCAUGCUGGCGUCCCAUCACCUGGCCCUACACGAGGACAAGCCCGACUUCGUGGGCAUCAUCUGCACCCGGCUGUCACCCAAAAAGAUCAUCGAGAAGUGGGUCGACUUCGCCCGGUGAGCCUUUUUGGGGUCCUGUGGGUCCCAUAUGGGGCUGUAGGAAGCACUCAAAGGGUUUUUAUAGGGCUGUGGGGAUGGAAAGGUUUUAGGGGUUUUUGUAGGGUGUCCCUUUGGGGCUGGGGGCGUCCCUAUGGGUCUGGGGUCAUCCCUAUGGGUCUCUGGGGCGUCCCUAUGGGUCUGGGGGUGACCUUAUGGGUCUGGGGGUGUCCCUAUAGGUCUCUGGGUGUCCCUAUGGGUCUGGGGGUGUCCGUAUAGAUCUGGGGGCGUCCCUAUAAGCCUUAGUGAUGUCCCUAUAGAUCUCAGAGUAUCUCUGUAGGUCUUGGGGUGUCCCUAUGGGUCUGGGGGUGUCCCUAUAGGUUUGGGGGUGUCCCUAUGGGUUUGGGGGUGUCCCU
This 1175-nucleotide long non-coding RNA is filed under the name Phasianus colchicus (ring-necked pheasant). RNAcentral describes it as "lncRNA (ENSPCLG00000020166.1)". The record is from RNAcentral. Lineage: Eukaryota; Metazoa; Chordata; Aves; Galliformes; Phasianidae.